RNAcentral lists this ribosomal RNA (253 nucleotides) under uncultured bacterium. RNAcentral's name for it is "partial 16S ribosomal RNA". It matches the Rfam family "Bacterial small subunit ribosomal RNA", at positions 524 to 776 of the family's 1533-position model. The record is from RNAcentral.
UACGGGGGGGGCAAGCGUUGUUCGGAAGUACUGGGCGUAAAGGGCGCGUAGGCGGCCUUCUAAGUCGGACGUGAAAUCCCUCGGCUUAACCGAGGAACUGCGUCCGAUACUGAAAGGCUUGAAUCCGGGAGAGGGAUGUGGAAUUCCAGGUGUAGCGGUGAAAUGCGUAGAUAUCUGGAGGAACACCGGUGGCGAAGGCGGCAUCCUGGACCGGCAUUGACGCUGAGGCGCGAAAGCCAGGGGAGCAAACGGG